RNAcentral lists this transfer RNA (92 nucleotides) under Candidatus Bathyarchaeota archaeon ex4484_205. RNAcentral's name for it is "tRNA-Val". It matches the Rfam family "tRNA". Rfam says of the family: Transfer RNA (tRNA) molecules are approximately 80 nucleotides in length. The record is from RNAcentral. RNAcentral also lists the same sequence under 1 other name. Lineage: Archaea; Thermoproteati; Candidatus Bathyarchaeota.
GGGCCCGUAGCUCAGCCAGGAAGAGCGCCGGUGUUUACGACCCGGUGCAUGUGUGCGGGGAGGUGUCCGGGGUUCGAAUCCCCGCGGGCCCG